Molecule: ribosomal RNA, 1384 nt
Filed under: uncultured Planctomycetota bacterium
Lineage: Bacteria; Pseudomonadati; Planctomycetota
Description: bacterial SSU rRNA
Rfam family: Bacterial small subunit ribosomal RNA
Source: RNAcentral
GGAUUAGGCAUGCAAGUCGAACGAGGAUAUAUCCUUCGGGAUAUAAGCCGAGUGGCGCAAGGGUGAGUAAUGCAUAGAUUACCUGCCUCUAGGAUAAGGACAACUUUGUGAAAACGAAGCUAAUACUUAAUAAUACAAAAGAAAAUAAUUUUCCUUUGUCAAAGGGAGGGUAGCAAUACCUUUUGCCUAGAGAGGGGUUUAUGUCCUAUCAGCUUGUUGGUGGGGUAAUGGCCUACCAAGGCGAAGACGGGUAGCCGGUCUUAGAGGAUGGUCGGCCACACUGGGACUGAGACACUGCCCAGACUUCUACGGAAGGCUGCAGUCGAGAAUCUUUCGCAAUGCCCGAAAGGGUGACGAAGCGACGCCGCGUGAGUGAGGAAGGCCUUAGGGUUGUAAAGCUCUGUCAGGAGUUAAGAAAUAUAAGUGUGUUAAUACCACAUUUAUUUGACGAAGGCUCCAAAGGAAGCCACGGCUAAUUCUGUGCCAGCAGCCGCGGUAAUACAGAGGUGGCAAGCGUUGUUCGGAAUUAUUGGGCGUAAAGAGCACGUAGGUGGGUUUGUAAGUCAGAUGUGAAAGCCUUCUGUUCAACGGAGGAAUUGCAUCUGAAACUAUAAGUCUUGAGUGUAGGAGGGGAGAAUGGAACUUCUGGUGGAGCGGUGAAAUGCGUAGAUAUCAGAAGGAACGCCGGCGGCGAAAGCGAUUCUCUGGCCUAUUACUGACACUCAGUGUGCGAAAGCUAGGGGAGCAAACGGGAUUAGAUACCCCGGUAGUCCUAGCUGUAAACGAUGGGCACUAAGUAGAGGGGAUUACCGAUGUUCUCUCUGCCGUAGCUAACGCAUUAAGUGCCCCGCCUGGGGAGUACGGCCGCAAGGCUAAAACUCAAAAGAAUUGACGGGGGCUCGCACAAGCGGUGGAGCAUGUGGCUUAAUUCGAUGCAACGCGAAAAACCUUACCGGGGCUUGACAUGGUAGAAGUAGGAACCCGAAAGGGUAACGAACGGUAUCCAGUCCGUAGCUAUCACAGGUGUUGCAUGGCUGUCGUCAGCUCGUGUCGUGAGACGUUGGGUUAAGUCCCCUAACGAGCGAAACCCUUGUUUUUAGUUACCAGCGGGUUAUGCCGGGUACUCUAGAAAGACUGCCGUCGUCAAGACGGAGGAAGGUGGGGAUGACGUCAAGUCAUCAUGGCCCUUAUGCCCCGGGCUGCACACGUGCUACAAUGGUCGGUACAAACGGAAGCGAAGCCGAGAGGUGAAGCGAAUCCUAAAAAGCCGAUCUCAGUUCGGAUUGGAGGCUGAAAUUCGCCUCCAUGAAGUUGGAAUCGCUAGUAAUCGCGGAUCAGCAAUGCCGCGGUGAAUAUGUUCCCGAGCCUUGUACACACCGCCCGU